UGGGGAAUAUUGCACAAUGGGCGGAAGCCUGAUGCAGCGACGCCGCGUGGGGGAUGAAGGCCUUCGGGUUGUAAACUCCUUUCGACAGGGACGAAGCUUUUGUGACGGUACCUGUAUAAGAAGCACCGGCUAACUACGUGCCAGCAGCCGCGGUAAUACGUAGGGUGCGAGCGUUGUCCGGAAUUACUGGGCGUAAAGAGCUCGUAGGUGGUUUGUCGCGUCGUCUGUGAAAUUCCGGGGCUUAACUCCGGGCGUGCAGGCGAUACGGGCUGACUUGAGUGCUGUAGGGGAGACUGGAAUUCCUGGUGUAGCGGUGAAAUGCGCAGAUAUCAGGAGGAAUACCGGUGGCGAAGGCGACUUUCUGGACUUUUACUGACGCUCAGGUACGAAAGCGUGGGGAGCAAACAGG
Molecule: ribosomal RNA, 409 nt
Filed under: Verrucomicrobiota bacterium
Lineage: Bacteria; Pseudomonadati; Verrucomicrobiota
Description: Verrucomicrobia bacterium partial 16S ribosomal RNA
Rfam family: Bacterial small subunit ribosomal RNA
Source: RNAcentral